CCUACGGGUGGCAGCAGUGAGGAAUAUUGGUCAAUGGGCGUAAGCCUGAACCAGCCAAGUCGCGUGAGGGAUGAAGGUUCUAUGGAUCGUAAACCUCUUUUAUAAGGGAAUAAAGUGUGGGACGUGUCCUAUUUUGUAUGUACCUUAUGAAUAAGGAUCGGCUAACUCCGUGCCAGCCGCCGCGGUAAUACGGAGGAUCCGAGCGUUAUGCGGAUUUAUUGGGGUUAAAGGGUGCGUAGGCGGCAUUUUAAGUCCGGGGGCAAAGUCUGUGGCUCAACCAGAGAAUUGCCGUUGAAACUGGGGGGCUUGAGUAGGUUAGAGGAAGGCGGAAUGCGUGGUGUAGCGGGGAAAUGCUUAGAUAUCACGCAGAACCCCGAUGGCGAAGGCAGCCUGCCAAGCCAUGACUGACGCUGAUGCACGAAAGCGUGGGGAUCAAACAGGAUUAGAUACCCUUGUAGUC
This 460-nucleotide ribosomal RNA is filed under the name uncultured bacterium. RNAcentral's name for it is "partial 16S ribosomal RNA". It matches the Rfam family "Bacterial small subunit ribosomal RNA", at positions 338 to 795 of the family's 1533-position model. The record is from RNAcentral.